UGGCGCACGGGUGCGUAACACGUAACUAACCUACCUAUAACUGGGGGAUAGCCCGCCGAAAGGCGGAUUAAUACCGCAUAAGCUCUGAGGCUGGCAUCAGCUUUUUAGUAAAGAUUUAUUGGUUAUAGAUGGGGUUGCGGGUCAUUAGCUAGUUGGUUGGGUAACGGCUGACCAAGGCGACGAUGACUAGGGGAGCUGAGAGGCUGGUCCCCCACACGGGCACUGAGAUACGGGCCCG
This 238-nucleotide ribosomal RNA is filed under the name uncultured bacterium. RNAcentral's name for it is "partial 16S ribosomal RNA". It matches the Rfam family "Bacterial small subunit ribosomal RNA", at positions 96 to 334 of the family's 1533-position model. The record is from RNAcentral.